This 1092-nucleotide long non-coding RNA is filed under the name Homo sapiens (human). Its description in RNAcentral is "HSALNT0139403". The record is from RNAcentral. Lineage: Eukaryota; Metazoa; Chordata; Mammalia; Primates; Hominidae.
AAGCAAUUGAUCUGCAAGGACCUGCCUUUGAAAUAUUGACACAUUGAGACUGUGUCUAUUCUAGGAAGGCUGACACAUGAUGAGAAGAGUCAGUGGUCCUGAGGUACAGUACUUAAGAUAACCCUGUGAAGGCUGAGAUUGAUAUUUGAAAUUCACAACUGAUCUUGGAGCCUGGUACAGCAGUCAUGGAUUUGUUCAUGUGUGGAUGUGAUGGAACUGAAGUCGCUAGGUUCAUGCUACCUGGAACAUGAGACUGACAAAUAGAGGAGCACUGAGUCAAAUGAAUCUCGGAGAAAUGGAGCUGGAAGAAAACUGGAGUAAGCCUGUCCCUGAAAGGGCACUACAUUUGGAUAUCCAGCAGUGGGACUCAAUAUUUUUUCUUGUUGUUUAAUCUCAUUUCUGUUACUUGCAGCCAAAGGCUCUUAAUGAGAAAAUGGCUCUACCUAGUUUUCUGAAAUUGCCUCAGUCUCUCCACUCUUCCCUAUUACAAAGGUCAUCUCUUUAAUUCACAUCCAAUAACUGAUAGUCUCUUGACUAAUCUACAUCCUCUCAUUCUCUCCUAAUUCACCUUUCAUACUGUUGCCAGGUGACUUUUCCUAAAAGACAACUUUCAUGAUGUCACUCUACUUCAUAAAUUCUUAUAAUGGUUUCUUUUUGCUUUUAGUCCAAACUCCUCAGGUUCGUUUUCAAGGCUUUUCAUAAUUGAAUUUCUUUUAUAUACCUAAGAUGAUUUCUCUGUGUUCCCAAAUGUACAAUUGACAGUCCUUCCUCCUGAUGUUCUCUCCAGUAGGAAAUGUUUGCUCUAUGUAAAUUCAGUAUAGCUUUUAGUCUCUAUUCAAGUUCUACCUUCUUCAUAAACUUCUCCUGAAUAGAAUCAGCCUAUAACCAUUUAAACUGUCUUUAUUAGGUGCACACUAUGUGCCAGGUACUCAACAAGGCAGUGGAACUAUGAAGACAGAUAAUCACAGUCCCUCUUGCCUCUGGGAGCAGGCAGUUGAAUGCAAUGCUUUUUAAAGUUUUAAGUAACGUGGUCAUGCAAAAUCUUAUAGAUAUACAUUUGAAUGUACAGAGUUUAAUUACCAAGCUAGUGAG